Molecule: ribosomal RNA, 407 nt
Filed under: uncultured bacterium
Lineage: Bacteria
Description: bacterial SSU rRNA
Rfam family: Bacterial small subunit ribosomal RNA
Source: RNAcentral
UAGGGAAUAUUGCUCAAUGGGGGAAACCCUGAAGCAGCAACGCCGCGUGGAGGAUGAAGGUCUUCGGAUUGUAAACUUAUUUUAUCAGGGAAGAAAAAAAUGACUGUACCUGAAGAAGAAGCACCGGCUAACUCCGUGCCAGCAGCCGCGGUAAUACGGAGGGUGCAAGCGUUACUCGGAAUCACUGGGCGUAAAGAGCGCGUAGGCGGGAUAGCAAGUCAGAUGUGAAAUCCUAUGGCUUAACCAUAGAACUGCAUUUGAAACUGUUAUUCUAGAGUAUGGGAGAGGCAGGUGGAGUUCUUGGUGUAGGGGUAAAAUCCGUAGAGAUCAAGAGGAAUACUCAUUGCGAAGGCGACCUGCUAGAACAUAACUGACGCUGAUGCGCGAAAGCGUGGGGAGCAAACAGG